This 440-nucleotide ribosomal RNA is filed under the name Phycicoccus sp. RNAcentral describes it as "bacterial SSU rRNA". It matches the Rfam family "Bacterial small subunit ribosomal RNA", at positions 24 to 473 of the family's 1533-position model. The record is from RNAcentral. Lineage: Bacteria; Bacillati; Actinomycetota; Actinomycetes; Micrococcales; Intrasporangiaceae.
UCAGGACGAACGCUGGCGGCGUGCUUAACACAUGCAAGUCGAACGGUGAUCUUGAGAGCUUGCUCUUGGGUGAUCAGUGGCGAACGGGUGAGUAACACGUGAGUAACCUGCCCCAGACUCUGGAAUAACCUCGGGAAACCGUGGCUAAUACCGGAUACGAAACGGAGCUGCAUGGCUGCCGUUUGGAAAGUUUUUCGGUUUGGGAUGGACUCGCGGCCUAUCAGCUUGUUGGUGAGGUAAUGGCUCACCAAGGCGACGACGGGUAGCCGGCCUGAGAGGGCGAUCGGCCACACUGGGACUGAGACACGGCCCAGACUCCUACGGGAGGCAGCAGUGGGGAAUAUUGCACAAUGGGCGAAAGCCUGAUGCAGCGACGCCGCGUGAGGGAUGACGGCCUUCGGGUUGUAAACCUCUUUCAGCAGGGAAGAAGCGAAAGUGAC